GGUUAGAUGGCCGAGCGGUCUAAGGCGCUACGUUAAGGUCCCAUAACCCUUAAAACACAACAAACUCUGUUAUCCGUAGUCCGAAAGGGCGUGGGUUCGAAUCCCACUCUAAUCA
Molecule: transfer RNA, 115 nt
Filed under: Coniochaeta sp. 2T2.1
Lineage: Eukaryota; Fungi; Ascomycota; Sordariomycetes; Coniochaetales; Coniochaetaceae
Rfam family: tRNA
About the family: Transfer RNA (tRNA) molecules are approximately 80 nucleotides in length. Their secondary structure includes four short double-helical elements and three loops (D, anti-codon, and T loops).
Source: Rfam by way of RNAcentral